RNAcentral lists this ribosomal RNA (253 nucleotides) under uncultured bacterium. Its description in RNAcentral is "partial 16S ribosomal RNA". It matches the Rfam family "Bacterial small subunit ribosomal RNA", at positions 524 to 776 of the family's 1533-position model. The record is from RNAcentral.
UACGGAGGGUGCAAGCGUUAUCCGGAUUUACUGGGUUUAAAGGGUGCGCAGGCGGAUAUGUAAGUCAGUGGUGAAAUCUCUGGGCUUAACCCGGAAAUUGCCAUUGAUACUAUAUAUCUUGAAUGUUGUGGAGGUAGGCGGAAUAUGUCAUGUAGCGGUGAAAUGCUUAGAUAUGACAUAGAACACCUAUUGCGAAGGCAGCUUACUACGCAGAUAUUGACGCUCAUGCACGAAAGCGUGGGGAUCAAACAGG